RNAcentral lists this ribosomal RNA (906 nucleotides) under uncultured bacterium. Its description in RNAcentral is "bacterial SSU rRNA". The stretch from base 1 to 805 matches the Rfam family "Bacterial small subunit ribosomal RNA". The record is from RNAcentral.
AAUGAACGCUGGCGGCGUGCCUAACACAUGCAAGUCGGAUGUGCCCGCAAGGGUGCAUGGCAGACGGGUGAGUAACGCGUGGAAAACCUACCUCUUUGUGGGGAAUAACGCUCCGAAAGGAGUGGUAAUACCGCAUGAGACCCGGAGCUGGGAUGCUUCGGGUGAAACCUGGGGACCGCAAGGCCUGGGGCAAGGAGAGGGUUCUGCGUCUGAUUAGCUAGUUGGCGGGGUAACGGCCCACCAAGGCGACGAUCAGUAGCCGGCCUGAGAGGGUGAUCGGCCACACUGGAACUGAGACACGGUCCAGACUCCUACGGGAGGCAGCAGUGGGGAAUUUUGCGCAAUGGGCGAUAGCCUGACGCAGCAACGCCGCGUGAGUGAUGAACGUCUUCGGAUCGUAUAGCUCUGUCGUCGGGAACGAACGUUGCGGGUUGAACAGGUUCGUAAUUUGACGGUACCCGAAUAGGAUAGCCCCGGCUCACUCUGUGCCCGCAGCCGCGGGAAUACUGAGGGGGCAAGGGUUAUUCGGAAUUAUUGGGCGUAAAGGGAGCCUAAGCAGCGGUUUCAAUGAAGUGUGCAAUCCCCGGGCUUAAACUGAGAACUGCCCCUCAAACUGGAACCCUAUAAAUAUUGGGGAAGGUGGGUAUUAUCUCCACCUGUAUCGGUGCAAUGGCAUAAAAACGCGCGAGGAUAUACACGGGCCUAAGCGUGUACCUCGGACCCAAUAUGGCCGCCUAAGUCGAGUUAUUUUGUGUCACAUAACGGGCCUGCUACCCCUUGGUACCUCCACACGGUCACAGAAUUAAUACCUCGGUCGCGGUGUGGGACAUGAACCUGGGUGGUGGACGUGACCUUACCGUGAAACAUUGGCCCGUCUAGGUGAAUUACAAGCUGCUAACGGCACAA